This 490-nucleotide ribosomal RNA is filed under the name uncultured bacterium. RNAcentral describes it as "partial 16S ribosomal RNA". It matches the Rfam family "Bacterial small subunit ribosomal RNA", at positions 29 to 507 of the family's 1533-position model. The record is from RNAcentral.
AGUGAACGCUGGCGGCAGGCCUAACACAUGCAAGUCGAACGGCAGCACAAGAGAGCUUGCUCUCUGGGUGGCGAGUGGCGGCCGGGUGAGGCAUGCAUCGGAAUCUUCCCAUUUGUGGGGGAUAACCUCGGGAAACCGGGACUAAUACCGCAUACGACCUACGGGUGAAAGCCGGGGAUCUUCGGACCUUGCGCAGAUGGAUGAGCCGAUGCCGGAUUAGCUAGUUGGAGGGGUAAAGGCCCACCAAGGCGACGAUCCGUAGCUGGUCUGAGAGGAUGAUCAGCCACACGGGGACUGAGACACGGCCCAGACUCCUACGGGAGGCAGCAGUGGGGAAUAUUGGACAAUGGGCGCAAGCCUGAUCCAGCCAUGCCGCGUGUGUGAAGAAGGCCUUCGGGUUGUAAAGCACUUUUGUUGGGAAAGAAAAGCAGCCGGUUAAUACCCGGUUGUCAUGACGGUACCCAAAGAAUAAGCACCGGCUAACUUCGUG